This 434-nucleotide ribosomal RNA is filed under the name uncultured Lachnospiraceae bacterium. RNAcentral describes it as "partial 16S ribosomal RNA". It matches the Rfam family "Bacterial small subunit ribosomal RNA", at positions 341 to 792 of the family's 1533-position model. The record is from RNAcentral. Lineage: Bacteria; Bacillati; Bacillota; Clostridia; Lachnospirales; Lachnospiraceae.
ACGGGAGGCAGCAGUGGGGAAUAUUGCACAAUGGGGGAAACCCUGAUGCAGCGACGCCGCGUGAGUGAAGAAGUAUUUCGGUAUGUAAGGCUCUAUCAGCAAGGAAGAAAAUGACGGUACUUGACUAAGAAGCCCCGGCUAACUACGUGCCAGCAGCCGCGGUAAUACGUAGGGGGCAAGCGUUAUCCGGAUUUACUGGGUGUAAAGGGAGCGUAGACGGCAUAGCAAGUCUGAAGUGAAAUGCAUGGGCUCAACCCAUGAACUGCUUUGGAAACUGUUAAGCUAGAGUGCAGGAGGGGUAAGUGGAAUUCCUAGUGUAGCGGUGAAAUGCGUAGAUAUUAGGAGGAACACCAGUGGCGAAGGCGGCUUACUGGACUGUAACUGACGUUGAGGCUCGAAAGCGUGGGGAGCAAACAGGAUUAGAUACCCUGGUA